CAAUUUAAACAACGAAGAGUUUGAUCCUGGCUCAGGAUGAACGCUAGCGACAGGCUUAACACAUGCAAGUCGAGGGGCAGCACGGUGUAGCAAUACAUUGGUGGCGACCGGCGCACGGGUGAGUAACGCGUAUGCAACCUACCUAUCAGAGGGGAAUAACCCGGCGAAAGUCGGACUAAUACCGCAUAAAACAGGGGUUCCACAUGGAAAUAUUUGUUAAAGAAUUAUCGCUGAUAGAUGGGCAUGCGUUCCAUUAGAUAGUUGGUGAGGUAACGGCUCACCAAGUCCACGAUGGAUAGGGGUUCUGAGAGGAAGGUCCCCCACACUGGUACUGAGACACGGACCAGACUCCUACGGGAGGCAGCAGUGAGGAAUAUUGGUCAAUGGGCGAGAGCCUGAACCAGCCAAGUCGCGUGAAGGAUGAAGGAUCUAUGGUUUGUAAACUUCUUUUAUAUGGGAAUAAAGUGAGGAACGUGUUCCUUUUUGUAUGUACCAUAUGAAUAAGCAUCGGCUAACUCCGUGCCAGCAGCCGCGGUAAUACGGAGGAUGCGAGCGUUAUCCGGAUUUAUUGGGUUUAAAGGGA
RNAcentral lists this ribosomal RNA (583 nucleotides) under Bacteroides fragilis. RNAcentral describes it as "bacterial SSU rRNA". It matches the Rfam family "Bacterial small subunit ribosomal RNA", at positions 1 to 568 of the family's 1533-position model. Lineage: Bacteria; Pseudomonadati; Bacteroidota; Bacteroidia; Bacteroidales; Bacteroidaceae. The record is from RNAcentral.